RNAcentral lists this ribosomal RNA (428 nucleotides) under uncultured bacterium. RNAcentral's name for it is "partial 16S ribosomal RNA". It matches the Rfam family "Bacterial small subunit ribosomal RNA", at positions 354 to 796 of the family's 1533-position model. The record is from RNAcentral.
GUGGGGAAUAUUGGGCAAUGGGGGAAACCCUGACCCAGCAACGCCGCGUGAGGGAAGAAGGUUUUCGGAUUGUAAACCUCUGUCCUUGGUGACGAAGGAAGUGACGGUAACCAAGGAGGAAGCCCCGGCUAACUACGUGCCAGCAGCCGCGGUAAUACGUAGGGGGCAAGCGUUGUCCGGAAUGACUGGGCGUAAAGGGCGUGUAGGCGGCCGAUUAAGUCUGGAGUGAAAGUCCUGCUUUCAAGGUGGGAAUUGCUUUGGAGACUGGUUGGCUUGAGUGCGGAAGAGGUAAGUGGAAUUCCCAGUGUAGCGGUGAAAUGCGUAGAGAUUGGGAGGAACACCAGUGGCGAAGGCGACUUACUGGGCCGUAACUGACGCUGAGGCGCGAAAGCGUGGGGAGCGAACAGGAUUAGAUACCCGUGUAGUCC